This 471-nucleotide ribosomal RNA is filed under the name uncultured bacterium. RNAcentral describes it as "SSU rRNA". It matches the Rfam family "Bacterial small subunit ribosomal RNA", at positions 26 to 518 of the family's 1533-position model. The record is from RNAcentral.
AGGAUAAACGCUGGCGGCGUGCCUAACACAUGCAAGUCGAACGCGCUUUCGGGCUUCGGUGCGAGAGCGAGUGGCGGACGGGUGAGUAACACAUGGGUACCUACCUUGGAGUGAGGGAUACCGGCGAGAAAUCGCCGACAAUACCGCAUAGGCUUCUUCACAAGGGAAGCAAAGUGAUGCGAGUCACGCUUUGAGAUGGGCCUGUGGCCGAUUAGCUAGUUGGGGGGGUAACGGCUUCCCAAGGCGACGAUCGGUAGCUGGUCUGAGAGGACGAUCAGCCACACUGGGAUUGAGAACGGCCCAGACUCCUACGGGGGGCAGCAGUGAGGAAUUUUCCGCAAUGGAGGCAACUCUGACGGAGCAACGCCGCGUGCAGGAGGAAGGUUUUCGGAUCGUAAACUGCUUUUCUCGGGGACGAGCAAGGACGGUACCCGAGGAAGAAGCCCCGGCUAACUACGCGCCAGCAGCCGC